This 591-nucleotide long non-coding RNA is filed under the name Vigna radiata. RNAcentral's name for it is "long non-coding RNA (VRAD_LNC005982)". The record is from RNAcentral. Lineage: Eukaryota; Viridiplantae; Streptophyta; Magnoliopsida; Fabales; Fabaceae.
CUAUCAUUGGGAUUUGAUGGCCUCCCCCUACGUAGGGAAAAAAGAAAAUUUCCACCGAAGGGUUUAAGGUCUUCAUGUUGAAAUGGAGGAGCAAAUAAGGUUAGGGAGGUGUGAGUUAUUAAAUCUCACCUUCUACUAUUUAUUUACAUGGAAAAGGUUUCAUGAAUCUUUCUCAAUUUUUCUACCCUUAUUUAAUAUUUAAUGAAAGAUAUUAUUUUUGUAGUGUUUUAGGUAAUUCAUUUUAAAUUAUUUUACAUUUUAAGUAAAAGUAUUAUUUUAUAAGUGUAGGAUAGGGAUUGAAUGAAAAUGGUUGAUUUUGUGCAGACGGAAAAGCUUGGAGAAAAACGUCAUGAGUGACAUAUACCAAAGAAUGUGCCAAGAUUAUUUGAGUGGUGGUGUUCGUCCGAAGUUUCCAAUCGCUGUUAUUGGAUAGAAUUGUCAAACACGUGUGGAAGUAAAGCACAAUGUAUAGACUGUCAUCAUAAUUUUCUUCAUACUUGAAUGACACCUUUUCUAGAAGCUCAGAUACAAUACGGAUUAUUCUUUGUUGGGUAUUCUUUAUGAAGGGGUGAGUGAGAUAAAUUAUCAAAG